RNAcentral lists this ribosomal RNA (421 nucleotides) under uncultured bacterium. RNAcentral's name for it is "partial 16S ribosomal RNA". It matches the Rfam family "Bacterial small subunit ribosomal RNA", at positions 360 to 773 of the family's 1533-position model. The record is from RNAcentral.
AAUUUUUCACAAUGGGGGCAACCCUGAUCCAGCCAUCCCGCGUGUGCGAUGAAGGNCUNNGGGUUNUNAAGCACUUUUGGCUGNNNNNAAAAGGCUCUGGCUAAUACCUGGAGCUGCUGACGGUACCUGCAGAAUACGCACCGGCUAACUACGUGCCAGCAGCCUCGGUAAUACGUAGGGUGCAAGGCUUAAUCGGAAUUACUGGGCGUAAAGCGUGCGCAGGCGGUUCGGCAAGAAGGAUGUGAAAUCCCAGGGCUUAACCUUGGAACUGCAUUCUUAACUGCCGGGCUAGAGUAUGUCAGAGGGGGGUAGAAUUCCGCGUGUAGCAGUGAAAUGCGUAGAGAUGCGGAGGAAUACCGAUGGCGAAGGCAGCCCCCUGGGAUAAUACUGACGCUCAUGCACGAAAGCGUGGGGAGCAAAC